UUUUUCCUCCUAGCUCAGGCCACCAACGUCACAGCCGGGACUGAGAGAACUGCUGCAUCUGUGGAAACUUCUAUUCUCGUGGGGCAGAGAUUGCACUGUGAAACCCUACCGACACUACCCCGGAAGGGCCUGGCCUCCGAGGUGUCUGCAGCGUGCUGCCUUCGCCGGGGCUUUUCAGAAUGGGCCGGGGCCUCGGGGGUCUUCAUCCCCAAGGAAGCCUCUUGAUUUUUGGCACCGCCUUUGUUUUUGGGCCGGAAGCCGUUGUGCGGCUGUCUUCUGUGUUCGUGGCGGCUGUUGCCCUUUCCCAGUGGCUCGGCUUCAUUCCCACUGCCCUGCGACUUGGCAGGCCCAUUUAGCCUGUUGUUAUGAUACUGUGGAUUAAAUCUCCGUCUUUGGUUAGAAGAUCCAUUCUACCAAAAAAGAAAAGAGAUAAGUAUCAGAUGCCAGCAAGCCACUGAUGACACCAGUAGACAUCAGGAAAACCAAAUCUCUAAGCCACAGUUAUAAGCAAAGAAAAUUUGAAGCCUCUAUUAAAAAAUCAUUCCUUCAACACAUCACUGACCAGGAACGUAAAUGGAUGAGCAGUAAGGACGCAAUGGAUUAAGCUCCUUUACAAGGGAAAGAUUUCUGAACUCCUCAAGGUCAGUAAUAGCCAACACUCAUUGAGUGCUUACCAUGCACUGAAUGGGGUUUCUCACCAUGCACUACCUCAUUUAACAUCAGAAUCACCCUUUAAGUUAGUUGCUAUUAUGUGCUUCGUUUUAUAGAUGAGGAUAAGGAGUUUCAGGGACUUGCCCAAGGUCUAUCUACAGUUGGGAAAUGGUGGAGCUAUUCCCGCUUUAUAUACUAUCUCCUGACAAGACUCUUAAGUUGUAACAUAAACAUAAACCUUUUUUGAAAAUCAAACCUCUUAAGAAAACAUGAAAUUUUAUGAGUUACAAAUAUAUAAGGUUCUUCAUUUGUGCACUGUGACUGGAUGGUAUAGGUUUAGGGCAGACCAACCCCCAAUAAUUCAGAGCCUAGAGCAAGAGUACAAAUGUAGGUCCAUACAUCUGUUAAAGGAAAAUAAAUCUUGGGGCCCCCAAAUCACUAAGCUGAAGGGAAAAGUCAAGCUGGGAACUGCUUAGGGCAAACCUGGCUCCCAUUCUAUUCAAAGUCACCCCUCUGCUCACUGAGAUAAAUGCAUAUCUGACUGUCUCAUUUGGAGAGGCUAAUCAGAAACUCAAAAGAAUACAACCAUCUGUCUUUUAUCUGCCUAAGACCUGGAAGCCCCCUCCUCGCUCCCAGUUGUCCGCCUUUGCCUCCAGUAGUCCCACCUUUCUGGACUGAACUGAUAUUCACCUUACACAAAUGGAUUGAUGUCUCAUGUCUCCCUAAAAUGUACAAAACCAAGCUGUGCCCCACCACCUUGGGCACAUGUCAUCAGACCUUCUGAGGCUGUGUCACGGGUGCACGUCCUCAACCUUGGCAAAAUAAACUUUCUAAGUUAUCUGAGACCUGUCUCAGAUUUUUGGGGUUCACACACCAUAUGUCUGAAUACUGUCUUUUCCUAUCUCUGGCUCCAUCCCACAUUGUAAGGGGCCUUGCACACACAAAUGUGGACAUUCCAGCCUGCACACCUAAGCAUCGCCUCCACUCCCACCCUUCCAGCGGAUGGGUGUGAAAACUGGCAGUGUUGUUCAUCUUCAAGAUGAUGUAUACAGGAAAGUGGUCCAGGCAGAUCCUGUGAGCAGGCUUGGGCCCACUUGGGAAGAGUAACCCAGGAUCUCGAGUACUGACUGGCAGCAUGCUUCAGAACAAAGAGUGUAGAUUCCAGUGGCCCUGUCUCCUUGGUCUCUCUGAUUCCUUACUCUGUAGAGAGGGCCAUGGCUGCGGGAGGGUCAAGAAGUUACUUGAAAACACAGGGCCCGGUCCAAGGGCCAUUCUUGCCUGGGUCUACAGUGUUCUGACUUAGAUAUUUGAGUGGAUUUCAACUUAAAUGAGCCAUUACCUAAACUGCUAAACCAGAGAACUGAAGAAGUAUCUACAUAGAUAGUACUUAAUCUGGCCUCCUUUGUUUUUAAAGAAAUUAUGAAAAAGGGAAACUCUUAGACUAAAUUUUAGACUUAAUUAUCAGCAUGGUAUUUAAUAAUGAACAGAGAGGCCAGGCAUGGUGGCUCAUGCCUGUAAUCUCAGCACUUUGGGAGGCUGAAGCAGGUGGAUCGCUUGAGCCCAGGAAUUUGACAGCAACAUGACAAAACCCCAUCUCUACAAAAAUUAUACAAAAAAAUUUAGUCAGGCGUGGUGGCACGUGCCUGUAGUCCCAGCUACCCUGCAGGCUGAGCCUGGUGGAUUGUUUGAGCCCAGGAGGUUGAGGCUGCAGUGGGCCGAGAUUGUGCCAAAAAAAAGAAAAAAAAAAGAACAAAAACUGUGAAGAUAUAUUUAGACUACAAGUAAAAACAGAUUUGAUUAUGAUCUUUAACUAAUGAGAUUAUAACAUGCUCCUUGUCAAAGUGCUAUCUUAAAGCUCAUGAAGACUUCAGGGCCUGAGAAAACACCUGUCAAUAUCAUUAAUAAGAAUUCUCAAAGGCUGAGACAGCAAAACCCAACAAGACACCUGUUAGAAAACCACCAUUUUUAAAGUCUUACAAAAAAAAAAAA
Molecule: long non-coding RNA, 2640 nt
Filed under: Homo sapiens (human)
Lineage: Eukaryota; Metazoa; Chordata; Mammalia; Primates; Hominidae
Description: HSALNT0308306
Source: RNAcentral